RNAcentral lists this non-coding RNA (21 nucleotides) under Caenorhabditis elegans. Lineage: Eukaryota; Metazoa; Nematoda; Chromadorea; Rhabditida; Rhabditidae. The record is from RNAcentral.
UUCGAAACAACUCAAUUGCUU